This 454-nucleotide ribosomal RNA is filed under the name uncultured bacterium. RNAcentral describes it as "bacterial SSU rRNA". It matches the Rfam family "Bacterial small subunit ribosomal RNA", at positions 56 to 518 of the family's 1533-position model. The record is from RNAcentral.
UGCAAGUCGAGCGGAGAUAUAGAGAGAUUCUCGGAUACUUCUUAUCUAGCGGCGGAUGGGUGAGUAACACGUGGGUAACCUGCCCUGCGACAGGGGGAUAACAGCUGGAAACGGCUGUUAAUACCGCAUAUGCACACGCUGCCGCAUGGCAGAGGGUGGAAAGAUUUAUCGGUGCAGGAUGGGCCCGCGUCGGAUUAACUGGUUGGCAGGGUAACGGCCUACCAAGGUGAUGAUCCGUAGCCGACCUGAGAGGGUGACCGGCCACAUUGGGACUGAGACACGGCCCAAACUCCUACGGGAGGCAGCAGUGGGGGAUAUUGCACAAUGGGCGCAAGCCUGAUGCAGCGACGCCGCGUGAAGGAAGAAGUAUUUCGGUAUGUAAACUUCUAUCAGCGGGGAAGAAGAUGACGGUACCCGACUAAGAAGCCCCGGCUAACUACGUGCCAGCCGCAGC